RNAcentral lists this ribosomal RNA (303 nucleotides) under uncultured Planctomycetota bacterium. RNAcentral's name for it is "bacterial SSU rRNA". It matches the Rfam family "Bacterial small subunit ribosomal RNA", at positions 29 to 351 of the family's 1533-position model. Lineage: Bacteria; Pseudomonadati; Planctomycetota. The record is from RNAcentral.
AAUGAACGUUGGCGGCGUGGAUUAGGCAUGCAAGUCGAGCGUGUACCCCGCAAGGGGGAAAGCGGCGAAAGGGACAGUAAUACGUAGGUACCAACCUUGGGGUCAGGGAUAGCCGCGGGAAACUGCGGGUAAUACCUGAUAACAUCUUCGGAUCAAAGGUGUGAUUCCGCCCUUAGACGGGCCUGCGUCCUAUUAGCUUGUUGGUGAGGUAAUGGCUCACCAAGGCCGUGAUGGGUAGCGGGUGUGAGAGCACGACCCGCGUCAUUGGGACUGAGACACUGCCCAGACACCUACGGGUGGCAG